Molecule: ribosomal RNA, 497 nt
Filed under: uncultured bacterium
Lineage: Bacteria
Description: partial 16S ribosomal RNA
Rfam family: Bacterial small subunit ribosomal RNA
Source: RNAcentral
GAUGAACGCUGGCGGCGUGCCUAAUACAUGCAAGUCGAGCGAACAGACGAGGAGCUUGCUCCUCUGACGUUAGCGGCGGACGGGUGAGUAACACGUGGAUAACCUACCUAUAAGACUGGGAUAACUUCGGGAAACCGGAGCUAAUACCGGAUAAUAUAUUGAACCGCAUGGUUCAAUAGUGAAAGACGGUUUUGCUGUCACUUAUAGAUGGAUCCGCGCCGCAUUAGCUAGUUGGUAAGGUAACGGCUUACCAAGGCAACGAUGCGUAGCCGACCGGAGAGGGUGGUCGGCCACACUGGAACGUAGACACGGUCCAGACUCCUACGGGAGGCAGCAGUAGGGAAUCUUCCGCAAUGGGCGAGAGCUUGACGGAGCAACGCCGCGUGAGUUAUGAAGGUCUUCGGAUCGUAAAACUCUGUUAUUAGGGAAGAACAAAUGUGUAAGUAGCUAUGCACGUCUUGACGGUACCUAAUCAGAAAGCCACGGCUAACUACGUG